CAUGUAAAUGGACAGAACAAAACCAAGGAAACAAUACUGAAAUCUGAGGUACUGAUACACUUUGACCUGUCAUUGCCCAUCCAACUAGCUUGUGAUACUAGUCCAUAUGGUGCAGGAGCAGCUGUGUCCCAUAUCAUGUCUUCCGGUGAAGAGAAGCUGAUCAUUUUCACAUUGAGGACAUUGAACAAAGCAGAAAGUAACUACGCACAGAUAGAACGAGAAGCCCUAAGCAUAACUUUUGGAGUGCGUAAUUUUCACCAGUAUUGGUACGGGAGGACGAUCACCCUUCUUACUGAUCAUCGUCCGCUGACGAGCAACUUUGUUUCUGUAGCUAGCUUGGCUGGCUAGCCACUUUGAUGAGCCAAGGAGGAAGACCGAUGAGAACAACAGGCCAGUGGAAGACUUGGAACAGCAGCAGCCAUUGGCAAAUGCUAGGGAAGAGGAUGAUUUAGGUGACCCAGUCACCAAAACUAGUUAAGCUACCCCAGUAUCCCCUUGACCGUUUUGGAUCACAAAACUAAAGAGACACACCAGAUAAGACACAGAGACAGCAACAGAAGAGUAGGUGAUGGAGAGACACCAGACAAGACACGGAGAAAGUGACAGAAGAGGGCAGAUGGAAAGAGAACAGAGGUGGAUUGAGCACAUAGUAGACUAUAUCACUUCAAGCAGCUCUAUAGAUUCUAAUUAGUUUUAUUUCUUUGCAAACAUUGUAACAGGUGAAAUACAAACAGUUAAAAAGUAAACAUGGUUUACUAAGAAUUUGCAUGUGAAAAACCCUGUGAAUGUCACGUCCUGACCAGUAUAAGGGGUUAUUUGUUAUUGUAGUUUGGUCAGGGCGUGGCAGGGGAGUGUUUGUUUUGUGUUGUCGGGGUUUUUGAGUAUUGUUCUAUGUUUUUGUAUUUCUAUGUUUUUUCUAUGUUGUGUAUUUCUUUGUGUUGGCCUGGUAUGGCUCUCAAUCAGGGACAGCUGUAUUUCGUUGUUGCUGAUUGGGAGCCAUACUUAGGUAGCCCUUUUUCCACCUGUCUUUUGGUGGGAAGUUGUUUUUGCACUGCUGUGGUUUGCCUGCAAAACUGUCUAGCUG
RNAcentral lists this long non-coding RNA (1084 nucleotides) under Salmo salar (Atlantic salmon). Its description in RNAcentral is "lncRNA (ENSSSAG00000105734.1, ENSSSAG00020079288.1, ENSSSAG00075054015.1)". The record is from RNAcentral. Lineage: Eukaryota; Metazoa; Chordata; Actinopteri; Salmoniformes; Salmonidae.